This 603-nucleotide unclassified non-coding RNA is filed under the name Hevea brasiliensis (rubber tree). Lineage: Eukaryota; Viridiplantae; Streptophyta; Magnoliopsida; Malpighiales; Euphorbiaceae. The record is from RNAcentral.
GAAAAAGACCAAGAGACAUGGGUUAAACAUUAUUAUAUGAAAUCAUAUGUAGUUCACUGUAGGAGGAUAUUUCUCCUUCUCUUCAAGUUUAGUAAGUGCUUUUGGCUUUAGAGGGUUGUGUAAGGAACAGAGGCUGGGUCGAGGUGACCCAGUUAUUUGAGAGUUUGGUAAGCACCAGUUCAUACACAAUCUCUUGAUAUAAGAAUGACGGUAAGUGCAUACCUAAUGUUAAGGAUGGAUGGACGAUUAGGGUAAUUAUCGGAGUUAGAUGAAAUUAGUUACCAGGGCUUGUAGCCCUUUUGAACUAUAAGCUGGAGGGAGUGCUAUCUAUGGAUGAGAUUCAAUGGAUGAAACUUUCACUGAUGGAUAAAUUUAAGGCUAAAAUUUGAAAAGCUGUGGGCAAUAAAUGUGGCUAUAUCAAGGAGAGUGAACACGUGAAAUAUCUUGUAUAGGAUUGUAGUACAACACAUAUUUCCCACUGCCAUGUUAGUUUUGAUGGAACUUAUAGGUUAAGGAGCCCCUAACUAACAAUAAUGUGUAAUUUUCUACAAAGGAUAGUAGGGAAUAAUAAUGUUCAAAUGGUCAAGUAGGGGAAGGAGGAAC